AACUCCGGGAACCGGAGCUAAUACCGGAUAGUUCCUUGAACCGCAUGGUUCAAGGAUGAAAGACGGUUUCGGCUGUCACUUACAGAUGGACCCGCGGCGCAUUAGCUAGUUGGUGAGGUAACGGCUCACCAAGGCGACGAUGCGUAGCCGACCUGAGAGGGUGAUCGGCCACACUGGGACUGAGACACGGCCCAGACUCCUACGGGAGGCAGCAGUAGGGAAUCUUCCGCAAUGGACGAAAGUCUGACGGAGCAACGCCGCGUGAGUGAUGAAGGUUUUCGGAUCGUAAAGCUCUGUUGUUAGGGAAGAACAAGUGCAAGAGUAACUGCUUGCACCUUGACGGUACCUAACCAGAAAGCCACGGCUAACUACGUGCCAGCAGCCGCGGUAAUACGUAGGUGGCAAGCGUUGUCCGGAAUUAUUGGGCGUAAAGGGCUCGCAGGCGGUUUCUUAAGUCUGAUGUGAAAGCCCCCGGCUCAACCGGGGAGGGUCAUUGGAAACUGGGAAACUUGAGUGCAGAAGAGGAGAGUGGAAUUCCACGUGUAGCGGUGAAAUGCGUAGAGAUGUGGAGGAACACCAGUGGCGAAGGCGACUCUCUGGUCUGUAACUGACGCUGAGGAGCGAAAGCGUGGGGAGCGAACAGGAUUAGAUACCCUGGUAGUCCACGCCGUAAACGAUGAGUGCUAAGUGUUAGGGGGUUUCCGCCCCUUAGUGCUGCAGCUAACGCAUUAAGCACUCCGCCUGGGGAGUACGGUCGCAAGACUGAAACUCAAAGGAAUUGACGGGGGCCCGCACAAGCGGUGGAGCAUGUGGUUUAAUUCGAAGCAACGCGAAGAACCUUACCAGGUCUUGACAUCCUCUGACAACCCUAGAGAUAGGGCUUUCCCUUCGGGGACAGAGUGACAGGUGGUGCAUGGUUGUCGUCAGCUCGUGUCGUGAGAUGUUGGGUUAAGUCCCGCAACGAGCGCAACCCUUGAUCUUAGUUGCCAGCAUUCAGUUGGGCACUCUAAGGUGACUGCCGGUGACAAACCGGAGGAAGGUGGGGAUGACGUCAAAUCAUCAUGCCCCUUAUGACCUGGGCUACACACGUGCUACAAUGGACAGAACAAAGGGCUGCGAGACCGCAAGGUUUAGCCAAUCCCACAAAUCUGUUCUCAGUU
Molecule: ribosomal RNA, 1160 nt
Filed under: Bacillus sp. SS002
Lineage: Bacteria; Bacillati; Bacillota; Bacilli; Caryophanales; Bacillaceae
Description: bacterial SSU rRNA
Rfam family: Bacterial small subunit ribosomal RNA
Source: RNAcentral